RNAcentral lists this ribosomal RNA (253 nucleotides) under uncultured microorganism. RNAcentral describes it as "partial 16S ribosomal RNA". It matches the Rfam family "Bacterial small subunit ribosomal RNA", at positions 524 to 776 of the family's 1533-position model. The record is from RNAcentral.
UACGUAGGGUGCGAGCGUUAAUCGGAUUUACUGGGCGUAAAGCGUGCGCAGGCGGCCCGUUAAGACAGGUGUGAAAUCCCUGGGCUCAACCUAGGAAUUGCGCUUGUGACUGGCGGGCUCGAGUACGGUAGAGGGGGGUGGAAUUCCUGGUGUAGCAGUGAAAUGCGUAGAUAUCGGGAGGAAGGCCGGUGGCGAAGGCGGCCUCCUGGGCCUGCACUGACGCUGAGGCGCGAAAGCGUGGGGAGUAAACAGG